GAUGAAUGCUGGCGGCGUGCCUAACACAUGCAAGUCGAGCGGCUGCGCGGGUAGUUUACUACCUGGCGGCGAGCGGCGGACGGCUGAGUAACGCGUGGGAACGUACCCCAAAGUGAGGAAUAACUGCCCGUAAGGGUGGCUAAUGCCGCAUAUGCUCUUCGGAGUAAAGCUUUAUGCGCUUUGGGAGCGGCCCGCGUCGGAUUAGGUUGUUGGUGAGGUAAUGGCUCACCAAGCCGACGAUCCGUAGCUGGUCUUAGAGGAUGAUCAGCCAGACUGGAACUGAGACACGGUCCAGACUCCUACGGGAGGCAGCAGUGAGGAAUCUUCCACAAUGGGCGGAAGCCUGAUGGAGCAACGCCGCGUGCAGGAUGAAGGCCUUCGGGUUGUAAACUGCUUUUAUAAGUGAAGAAUAUGACGGUAACUUAUGAAUAAGCACCGGCUAACUACGUGCCAGCAGCCGCAGUAA
RNAcentral lists this ribosomal RNA (466 nucleotides) under uncultured bacterium. RNAcentral's name for it is "partial 16S ribosomal RNA". It matches the Rfam family "Bacterial small subunit ribosomal RNA", at positions 28 to 523 of the family's 1533-position model. The record is from RNAcentral.